Molecule: ribosomal RNA, 253 nt
Filed under: uncultured bacterium
Lineage: Bacteria
Description: partial 16S ribosomal RNA
Rfam family: Bacterial small subunit ribosomal RNA
Source: RNAcentral
UACGGAGGGGACUAGCGUUGUUCGGAAUUACUGGGCGUAAAGCGCACGUAGGCGGAUUUGUAAGUCAGGCGUGAAAGCCCCGGGCUCAACCUGGGAACCGCGCUUGAGACUGGCACGCUAGAGUUCGGGAGAGGAUGGUGGAAUUCCCAGUGUAGAGGUGAAAUUCGUAGAUAUUGGGAAGAACACCGAUGGCGAAGGCAGCCAUCUGGACCGACACUGACGCUGAGGCGCGAAAGCGUGGGGAGCAAACAGG